Molecule: non-coding RNA, 102 nt
Organism: Podarcis lilfordi (Lilford's wall lizard)
Lineage: Eukaryota; Metazoa; Chordata; Lepidosauria; Squamata; Lacertidae
Source: the annotation of a GenBank genome assembly
CUUCCAGUAGCACCUUAGAGACCAACUAAGUUUGUUAUUGGUAUGAGCUUUUGUGUGCAUGCACACAAAAAACUUAGUUGGUCUCUAAGGUGCUACUGGAAG